AUAGCGUAUAUUAAAGUUGUUGCAGUUAAAAAGCUCGUAGUUGGAUUUCAAGGGAUGCAGGGUGGAUAACACCAUUGCUCUCUACCAGUCAUAGACUGUUACUGUGAGAAAAUUAGAGUGUUUCAAGCAGGCUGUUGCAGGAAUACAUUAGCAUGGAAUAACGAAUGUGUCUAGAAUCUUGGUUAAUUCUAGAUUACGAUUAAUAGGGACAGUUGGGGGCAUUAGUAUUUAAUUGUCAGAGGUGAAAUUCUUGGAUUUGUUAAAGACUAACGUAUG
RNAcentral lists this ribosomal RNA (276 nucleotides) under uncultured eukaryote. Its description in RNAcentral is "partial 18S ribosomal RNA". It matches the Rfam family "Eukaryotic small subunit ribosomal RNA", at positions 594 to 945 of the family's 1831-position model. The record is from RNAcentral.